RNAcentral lists this ribosomal RNA (521 nucleotides) under uncultured bacterium. Its description in RNAcentral is "bacterial SSU rRNA". It matches the Rfam family "Bacterial small subunit ribosomal RNA", at positions 145 to 693 of the family's 1533-position model. The record is from RNAcentral.
AGCGUUGGGAAACUGACGGUAAUACUCAAUAAAGUCGAGAGACCAAAGGUUUACUUCCGGAAGAGCGGCCGAUGCGAUAUUAGGUAGUUGGUGGGGUAAUGGCCUACCAAGCCUGAGAUGUCUAGGGGGUGUGAGAGCAUGGCCCCCACCACUGGGACUGAGAUACUGCCCAGACACCUACGGGUGGCUGCAGUCGAGGAUCUUCGUCAAUGGGCGAAAGCCUGAACGAGCGACGCCGCGUGCGGGAUGAAGGCCCUUGGGUUGUAAACCGCUGUCAGGGGGGAUGAAACCGUAAGGUUGACAGAGCCCCAGAGGAAGCACGGGCUAAGUUCGUGCCAGCAGCCGCGGUAAUACGAACUGUGCGAACGUUACUCGGAAUCACUGGGCUUACAGGGUGCGUAGGUGGCUUGUUAAGCAGGGUGUGAAAUCCCUCGGCUCAACCGAGGAACUGCGCUCUGAACUGGCGAGCUAGAGUAUGCUAGAGGUGAAUGGAACAUCCAGUGGAGCGGUGAAAUGUGUUG